AUAUCAUUAAAAUUUUGAGACAACUCUUUUCCUCCCCUCCUUCUCUCCCGUGGCGACUGCAGUGCUGCCAGUAUCCGAGCCCGCCAGAAAGCAACCCCGACCGAGUCGGAGCGGAUUCCAGGCCCAUGGACUAUCCGAAGAAGAGGCCCGGAUCGGAGCCAUCGUAGAAAUCGUCAGCUCCAUGGUCGACCUCUCCCGGAAGGGCCAAAACAUUGACCUAAACGCCCUCAAGACCACCGCGUGCCGCAAGUACGGCCUCUCACGUGCGCCGAAGCUGGUCGAAAUGAUUGCGGCUCUGCCGGAGUCGGACCGUGAGGCUCUUCUCCCAACUAGCAUGUGCGCAAUUCGGGCAAGGUCGAGUUCAUCUUAAUGGGCGGUACUUUCAUGUCGUUGCCUGCGGAUUACCGUGAUUACGAGCUCGUUUGAAUGCGCUUUUGAAAUGAUUGAAAACGCUUUUGGUGAAAAUAUUUUAAAACCAAUCAUUAGUAAAUAUGCAAGUAAAUCCUAAAAAAAUAUUUAAAGUGCUUCCUGGAAGAAGCACAUAAUUGGUGCUUCUUGCAGAAAGCACUUAAAGUGCUUUUGAAGCCCAAAAAUAUUUUUUCUAAAAGCGCUUUCAUUCAUUUUAAAAGCAUAUCCAAACGAGCCCUACUUUAUUAGAAAUCUGCACGAUGCGUUAUUGGGACACACUUCUGCCAAUGUUGAAGAGGCAGUUGCCUACUCUGAGCAUGGUGCUGCUAAAUGUAUUGGAAUGACCAUUGAAACGUGAGUUUUUAGUUUAUUUUCGAAGCCAUUAAUUUCUCAUUCUUGUGUUUAACUUGGUUGACAGUAAUUUUUAGCUUACCAUCUAGUUUCCAGUUCAUCUAGCUUACCAUUGAAGUGCAUAUAAACUUUUGUAAUGCAAAUCACACUGUGCUUAAUUGGGUGUUUUGUAGAAACCUUGUGAUAUAAAAUGAGUUAUCUUUUUUUUUUUCUUUUUA
Malus domestica (apple) is the source of this 977-nucleotide long non-coding RNA. RefSeq lists it as uncharacterized. NCBI's taxonomy places the organism in Eukaryota, Viridiplantae, Streptophyta, Magnoliopsida, Rosales, Rosaceae. The record is from RefSeq and is a predicted model, not a curated record.